UUUGCUGGGAUUUGAACCCUGAACCUUAAUCUUAUGUUUUGCAGCCCUCCUGCGAUAGAGAGGUUGUCGAGUGGACUGUUUCAGGAGGUAAUCAUCACAAAUACCAUUCCGGUGGCAGAACAAAACUAUUUUCCCCAGCUGACCAUCUUAUCUGUUGCAAACCUCUUGGGCGAAACGAUUUGGCGUGUCCAUGAUGACUGCGCAGGCGGCUUUGAGCCUUACUCCGGAUUGGGAAUUGAUUAGUCCUUCCUGUUCAUUGCUUGUUUUGACACUGUUGUCUGGAACUUGAAGCAGUAUGUUGAUCAGAUCCACCAAAAUUUUCGUCCAGUAACAAAGAGAGCAUUUUCUGUUGUACAAAUAUUUUGUGCGGAAUGUUACGUUGUAAAUCUUUCAAUCAGUGACUUGGAUCCAUGUAGUAGAUGAGUUUUUUGAUUAAUAUGAAGUUUACUUGAAUUGCUAUUA
Nicotiana tabacum (common tobacco) is the source of this 462-nucleotide non-coding RNA. The record is from RefSeq and is a predicted model, not a curated record. NCBI's taxonomy places the organism in Eukaryota, Viridiplantae, Streptophyta, Magnoliopsida, Solanales, Solanaceae.